CUGGAAUGAAUGUGGCGUGUAUGAACUUCUCCCAUGGAACUCACGAGUACCAUGCUGAGACCAUCAAGAACGUGCGCACGGCCACGGAAAGCUUUGCUUCAGACCCCAUCCUCUACCGGCCAGUGGCUGUGGCUCUGGACACAAGGCCCUGAGAUCUGAACAGGACUCAUCAAGGGCAGUGGCACCGCGGAGGUGGAGCUUAAGAAGGGUGCCACGCUCAAGAUCACAUUGGACAAUGCCUACAUGGACAAGUGCGAUGAGAACAUCUGCAAGGUGGUGGAUGAUGGCCUCAUCUCCCUGCAAGUGAAGCAGAAAGGUCCUGACUUCCUGGUGACGGAGGUGGAGAACGGUGGUUUCCUGGGCAGCAAGAAGGGUGUGAACCUGCCUGGGGCCGCUGUGGACCUGCCUGCAGUGUCGGAAAAGGAUAUCCAGGACCUUAAGUUCGGGGUGGAACAGGACGUGGACAUGGUGUUUGCUUCUUUCAUCCGCAAGGCAGCUGACGUGCAUGAAGUCAGGAAGGUUCUGGGUGAGAAAGGGAAAAACAUCAAGAUCAUCAGCAAAAUUGAGAACCAUGAAGGCGUGCGCAGGUUUGACGAGAUCUAGGAGGCCAGUGACGGCAUCAUGGUGGCUCGUGGUGAUCUUGGCAUUGAGAUUCCUGCAGAAAAGGUCUUCCUUGCCCCGAAGAUGAUGAUCGGACGUUGCAACCGUGCAGGGAAGCCAGUCAUCUGUGCCACACAGAUGUUGGAGAACAUGAUCAAGAAGCCCCGCCCCACUCGCGCGCAGGGCAGUGACGUGGCCAAUGUGGUCCUAGAUGGAGCUGACUGUAUCAUGCUGUCCGGAGAGACCGCCAAGGGUGACUACCCCCUGGAGGUGGUCCGCAUGCAGCACCUGAUAGCUGGUGAGGCUGAGGCAGCCAUGUUCCACUGCAAGCUGUUCGAAGAACUUGUGCAAGCCUCCAGUCACUCCACAGACCUCAUGGAAGCCAUGGCCAUGGGCAGCGUGGAGGCUUCUUAUAAGUGUUUAGCAGCAGCUUUGAUAGUUCUGACGGAGUCUGGCAGGUCUGCUCACCAAGUGGCCAGGUACCGCCCACGCGCCCCCAUCAUUGCCAUGACACGGAAUCAUCAGACGGCCCGUCAGGCCCACCUCUACCGCGGUAUCUUCCCCGUGGUGUGUAAGGACCCUGUCCAACAGGCCUGGGCUAAGGAUGUCGACCUUCGGGUGAACUUGGCCAUGAAUGUUGGCAAGGCCCGUGGCUUCUUCAAGACUGGAGAUGUGGUCAUUGUGCUGACCGGCUGGCGCCCUGGCUCCGGCUUCACCAACACCAUGUGCGUGGUGCCAGUGCCAUGAAAGCCUGCAGCCGUUCCUCCAGCCACUGUCCCGUCCCGUCCCCCCUACCCAUCCAUUAGGCCAGCAAUGCUUGUAGUGCUCCCUGGGGCCUGUAGUAUGGCACUGGUGGGCUGGGACGUCGGUGGAAGAGCUGGAAGAUGACUGGGCACGCCAGAACUCUGCUGCUCAUCAUGUGGCUCUGCCCAUGGCCCCACGCGUUGCACUGUGUGGUUCCUAUAGAAUGCAUCCCCAGGACAACUCCCAAUCCUGGCCUGGGGUCAUGCACAGACAGCAGGGCCUUAAGGGAAGCUGCAGAUCCGGUUUUGGCAGGUCUGGGCCCCUGACUCCCCCCACUCCCAAGUUGUGUGCAUUGUGCUCACCUGCGUUCCCUUCCCCACUCAGCUGACGCCGCCAACAAACACUCCAUCAGCACCUUCCACUUCCCCCACGAGCACGGCCCAUCCAGGCCUGUUGCUGCAGAGCCUGCCUGUGUGUCAAUAAACAGCGGCUGAA
This is an RNA transcript of Ochotona curzoniae (black-lipped pika), 1839 nucleotides long. It is a transcript of the gene named pyruvate kinase PKM-like, with no coding region annotated. Lineage: Eukaryota; Metazoa; Chordata; Mammalia; Lagomorpha; Ochotonidae. The record is from RefSeq and is a predicted model, not a curated record. The transcript has a single exon.